RNAcentral lists this ribosomal RNA (474 nucleotides) under Hemidonax pictus. Its description in RNAcentral is "partial 16S ribosomal RNA". It matches the Rfam family "Bacterial large subunit ribosomal RNA", at positions 1829 to 2600 of the family's 2925-position model. Lineage: Eukaryota; Metazoa; Mollusca; Bivalvia; Cardiida; Hemidonacidae. The record is from RNAcentral.
GGCCCAUCGACACAAUAUGGUGGGUCGGGCCUGCCAGGUGACUGACGAGUUUAACGGCCGCAGUGAGUAUCUGUGCUAAGGUAGCGUAAUCAUUUGUCCUUUAAUUGGGGAAAGGAAUGAAUGGCUUGACGUAAGAAAUGCUUUUUUAAAAAUAAAAAAUUAAGUUUCCCUUUAUGUGAAAAGGCAUAAAUUAUAGUAAAAGACGAGAAGACCCCGUCGAGCUUGAUUAUUGAUAGGUUGAUUUAAUUUAUUAAGAAGUUUUGUUGGGAAAACAAAAAGCUAAGACUAACGCUUUUUUUGAGUGUAAGGAGCCAUUAUGAUUGAAGUAAGCAAAAGCUACCGCGGGGAUAACAGCGUAAUUUUUUUUGAGAGUUCUUAUUGAGAGAAGAGUUUGCGACCUCGAUGUUGGAUUAGGAUUUCUAUUUGCUUGUAGCAGGUAAAUAAGUGGGACUGUUCGUCCUUUAAAAUCUUACA